Molecule: unclassified non-coding RNA, 210 nt
Filed under: Hevea brasiliensis (rubber tree)
Lineage: Eukaryota; Viridiplantae; Streptophyta; Magnoliopsida; Malpighiales; Euphorbiaceae
Source: RNAcentral
UUGAACUUGUCAUCAAAUUCACUUAGUGGCCACCUACCACUAAGUAUUGGAAAUUUGAAGGUAGUAACACAAGUAGACUUAUCAAGUAAUCAUUUAUCCGGUAUCAUCCCAGAUUCCCUUGGAGGCCUCCAAAGCCUGAUGAAACUCUCCUUAAGACACAACAAUUUUGAAGGCCCUAUUCCCGAAUCAUUUGGAAACUUGAUAAGCCUG